UACGAAGGGUGCUAGCGUUGUUCGGAAUCACUGGGCGUAAAGCGCGCGUAGGCGGCUUUGCAAGUCAGAGGUGAAAUCCCACGGCUUAACCGUGGAACUGCCUUUGAAACUGCAAAGCUGGAGUGUCGGAGGGGAUAGCGGAAUUGCUAAUGUAGAGGUGAAAUUCGUAGAUAUUAGCAGGAACACCGGUGGCGAAGGCGGCUAUCUGGACGACAACUGACGCUGAGGCGCGAAAGCGUGGGGAUCAAACAGG
Molecule: ribosomal RNA, 253 nt
Filed under: uncultured bacterium
Lineage: Bacteria
Description: partial 16S ribosomal RNA
Rfam family: Bacterial small subunit ribosomal RNA
Source: RNAcentral